This 253-nucleotide ribosomal RNA is filed under the name uncultured bacterium. Its description in RNAcentral is "partial 16S ribosomal RNA". It matches the Rfam family "Bacterial small subunit ribosomal RNA", at positions 524 to 776 of the family's 1533-position model. The record is from RNAcentral.
UACGUAGGGGGCAAGCGUUGUCCGGAUUUAUUGGGCGUAAAGAGCGUGUAGGCGGCCAGGUAGGUCUGCUGUGAAAACUCGAGGCUUAACCUCGAGAUGUCGGCGGAAACCAUCUGGCUAGAGUCCGGAAGAGGAGAAUGGAAUUCCCGGUGUAGCGGUGAAAUGCGCAGAUAUCGGGAAGAACACCCGUGGCGAAGGCAGCUCGCUGGGGCGUUACUGACGCUGAGACGCGAAAGCGUGGGGAGCAAACAGG